UACGUAGGGGGCAAGCGUUGUCCGGAUUUAUUGGGCGUAAAGAGCGUGUAGGCGGUCUGGUAGAUCCGUUGUGAAAACUCGAGGCUCAACCUCGAGACGCCGAUGGAAACCAUCAGACUAGAGUCCGGAAGAGGAGAGUGGAAUUCCUGGUGUAGCGGUGAAAUGCGCAGAUAUCAGGAAGAACACCCGUGGCUAAGGCGGCUCUCUAGUACGGUACUGACGCUGAGACGCGAAAGCGUGGGGAGCGAACAGG
RNAcentral lists this ribosomal RNA (253 nucleotides) under uncultured bacterium. RNAcentral describes it as "partial 16S ribosomal RNA". It matches the Rfam family "Bacterial small subunit ribosomal RNA", at positions 524 to 776 of the family's 1533-position model. The record is from RNAcentral.